UCUCUCUCUCUCCAUAAUUAAUUGAUCAAACCUAAUUUCUUUACAUUGAUAAUUUUUGUGUUAUUAGUAUCAUUUUUAUAUGCUAAUUAGUUGUUUGAUUGAUGAAAUGCCUGAACGAAUUAGUUGUUUGAUGAAAUGCUAAUUAGUUGUUUUAUAUGCUAAUUUCUCUAUAGAUCUGGUCCUAUUAACUUAGAAACAAUUAUUUCGCAUAAUUACAGAGUUGCCAUAAUUUUUCUGCAAACAUCGAUUUCUUUCAAUCAAUGUUUGUUGUUGUUUUUUUUAAAUUUUGUGUUCAGUCAUUAAAUUGAUGUUGUGCUUCCGAUUUAACAGACUAUGCAAGAAAUAGUACAACAAGAAAAGCUAAAAAACCAAGACCAACUAAAACGACAGCAAAUAAUACUACAUCACCUAUUGAAACGAUAGCAACAACUAAUCCAGAAGGUAUUUUUUGGAUAUUAUUUUGAAGUUUGUACCUCAACCAUUCAUAAGGCAUCUCCAACGCAUGAGGCAAAUGGAGAGAAUUAGACAUUUUGCCUAUUGAAGCUGCAUUUCUAGGGCUCCAACGCAUGAGGCAAAUGGUGAGGCAUUUUGACCAUUCUCGUUUUGGCUCUCCAUAGGUAGCCAGCCUCAAUUGCUAGGCAAAGUGUGUUCCCGUCAACUCAGAUAAAAAAAUGGCUUCAUCUUCUACUAAUAAUAGGAACAUAAGAUUAAAGCCAAGAUUGUGUAAUUGUGGAAGAACAGCUUCCAUGCAUAUUAUACGAACCAAUAAGAAUGGAAAUGAAGGACGUGUCUUUUUUGUUUGCCCAACAAAAUAUAUUGCGAACGAACACUACAAUUACUUCAGGUUCGCAGAUGACGACGACGACGCUACCUCCACAAUCCGUGCCAAUGCUGGACUUCGGAUAGAUUCAAGAAUAGAAGAAAUUAAUGAUCUAAGGAGAAGGUUUGGUGAGAUGGACAAUGCAAUUCAUGAGCAUGAUAAAAGGCUUCAAAUGAUGGACAAGAUUUUCAAGGCAAUGACUUAUUGUAUUUUGUGUAUUUUUGUACUUUAUCAUAUAAAUGACUAAGUUGUUAGGUUUUGGAACAUGCUACGAAUGUAAUCUACUUUUCUACUUGUUUUGUAUUUUUUUGUUGGUGCUUAAAAAUCUGAUGGUUUGAAAAAACAGGUGUAUUGAUUAACAAUGUGUUGAAUGAAUAGGUGCUUAACAGUGUAUUUUUUUGGACAAUGGUUGAACAGGUUGAUUAACAAUGUGUUGAAUGAACAGGUUGAACAGGUUGAAGGUGUA
RNA transcript from Camellia sinensis, 1286 nucleotides. RefSeq lists it as uncharacterized. The record is from RefSeq and is a predicted model, not a curated record. Lineage: Eukaryota; Viridiplantae; Streptophyta; Magnoliopsida; Ericales; Theaceae.